RNAcentral lists this non-coding RNA (29 nucleotides) under Mus musculus (house mouse). The record is from RNAcentral. Lineage: Eukaryota; Metazoa; Chordata; Mammalia; Rodentia; Muridae.
UGCUAAGCCUGGAGACCUAAGUUUGAUCC